AGAGUUUGAUCCUGGCUCAGAAUCAACGCUGGCGGCGUGCCUAACACAUGCAAGUCGAACGAGAAAGUGGAGCAAUCCAUGAGUAAAGUGGCGCACGGGUGAGUAACACGUGACUAACCUACCCUUGAGUGGGGGAUAACCUAGGGAAACCUGGGCUAAUACCGCAUAAUACCUUCGGGUCAAAGGAGCAAUUCGCUUAAGGAGGGGGUCGCGGCCGAUUAGUUAGUUGGCGGGGUAAUGGCCCACCAAGACUGUGAUCGGUAUCCGGCCUGAGAGGGCGCACGGACACACUGGAACUGAAACACGGUCCAGACUCCUACGGGAGGCAGCAGUGGGGAAUUUUGCGCAAUGGGGGAAACCCUGACGCAGCAACGCCGCGUGGAGGAUGAAGCCCCUUGGGGCGUAAACUCCU
RNAcentral lists this ribosomal RNA (412 nucleotides) under uncultured bacterium. RNAcentral's name for it is "bacterial SSU rRNA". It matches the Rfam family "Bacterial small subunit ribosomal RNA", at positions 8 to 434 of the family's 1533-position model. The record is from RNAcentral.